This 460-nucleotide ribosomal RNA is filed under the name uncultured bacterium. Its description in RNAcentral is "partial 16S ribosomal RNA". It matches the Rfam family "Bacterial small subunit ribosomal RNA", at positions 338 to 795 of the family's 1533-position model. The record is from RNAcentral.
CCUACGGGUGGCAGCAGUGAGGAAUAUUGGUCAAUGGACGAGAGUCUGAACCAGCCAAGUAGCGUGAAGGAUGACUGCCCUAUGGGUUGUAAACUUCUUUUAUAUGGGAAUAAAAUGUUCCACGUGUGGGAUUUUGUAUGUACCAUAUGAAUAAGGAUCGGCUAACUCCGUGCCAGCAGCCGCGGUAAGACGGAGGAUCCGAGCGUUAUCCGGAUUUAUUGGGAUUAAAGGGAGCGUAGGUGGAUUGUUAAGUCAGUUGUGAAAGUUUGCGGCUCAACCGUAAAAUUGCAGUUGAAACUGGCAGUCUUGAGUACAGUAGAGGUGGGCGGAAUUCGUGGUGUAGCGGUGAAAUGCUUGGAUAUCACGAAGAACUCCGAUUGCGAAGGCAGUUCACUGGACUGCAACUGACACUGAGGCUCGAAAGUGUGGGUAUCAAACAGGAUUAGAUACCCUUGUAGUC